This 468-nucleotide ribosomal RNA is filed under the name uncultured bacterium. Its description in RNAcentral is "partial 16S ribosomal RNA". It matches the Rfam family "Bacterial small subunit ribosomal RNA", at positions 28 to 507 of the family's 1533-position model. The record is from RNAcentral.
GACGGACGCUGGCGGCGUGCUUAACACAUGCAAGUCGAACGGAAAGGCCCUGCUUUUGUGGGGUGCUCGAGUGGCGAACGGGUGAGUAACACGUGAGUAACCUGCCCUUGACUUUGGGAUAACUUCAGGAAACUGGGGCUAAUACCGGAUAGGAGCUCCUGCUGCAUGGUGGGGGUUGGAAAGUUUCGGCGGUUGGGGAUGGACUCGCGGCUUAUCAGCUUGUUGGUGAGGUAGUGGCUUACCAAGGCUUUGACGGGUAGCCGGCCUGAGAGGGUGACCGGCCACAUUGGGACUGAGAUACGGCCCAGACUCCUACGGGAGGCAGCAGUGGGGAAUAUUGCACAAUGGGCGGAAGCCUGAUGCAGCAACGCCGCGUGCGGGAUGACGGCCUUCGGGUUGUAAACCGCUUUCGCCUGUGACGAAGCGUGAGUGACGGUAAUGGGUAAAGAAGCACCGGCUAACUACGUG